GCCAUCCUUGAAAUACCACCCUGGUUUGUUUGAGGUUCUAACCUUGGUCCGUUAUCCGGAUCGGGGACAGUGCAUGGUAGGCAGUUUGACUGGGGCGGUCUCCUCCUAAAGAGUAACGGAGGAGUACGAAGGUGCGCUCAGACCGGUCGGAAAUCGGUCGUAGAGUAUAAAGGCAAAAGCGCGCUUGACUGCGAGACAGACACGUCGAGCAAGGACGAAAGGAGGUCA
Molecule: ribosomal RNA, 228 nt
Filed under: Chloropicon mariensis
Lineage: Eukaryota; Viridiplantae; Chlorophyta; Chloropicophyceae; Chloropicales; Chloropicaceae
Description: partial Bacterial large subunit ribosomal RNA
Rfam family: Bacterial large subunit ribosomal RNA
Source: RNAcentral